GGUCUAUUAGUGUAGUGGUUAUCACCUUCGGUUCUGAUAUCCGAAAGACCGGAGUUCGAAUCUCCGAUGGACCU
RNAcentral lists this transfer RNA (74 nucleotides) under Hanseniaspora uvarum DSM 2768. RNAcentral describes it as "tRNA-Gln". It matches the Rfam family "tRNA". From Rfam's summary of the family: Transfer RNA (tRNA) molecules are approximately 80 nucleotides in length. Their secondary structure includes four short double-helical elements and three loops (D, anti-codon, and T loops). Further hydrogen bonds mediate the characteristic L-shaped molecular structure. tRNAs have two regions of fundamental functional importance: the anti-codon, which is responsible for specific mRNA codon recognition, and the 3' end, to which the tRNAs corresponding amino acid is attached (by aminoacyl-tRNA synthetases). tRNAs cope with the degeneracy of the genetic code in two manners: having more than one tRNA (with a specific anti-codon) for a particular amino acid; and 'wobble' base-pairing, i.e. permitting non-standard base-pairing at the 3rd anti-codon position. The record is from RNAcentral. Lineage: Eukaryota; Fungi; Ascomycota; Saccharomycetes; Saccharomycodales; Saccharomycodaceae.